UGAAUAAAAAGAAUCGUCACACCCACGAGGGACGAGGUCACGCAUUAGCCUCGUGAUUUUUCGACCCCCUCACACAUUCUCAUUCUCCUUCCUCAAUCUCUGGCUACCUCCGUCACUCCAUUUACAACAUGGAUUCAAUUUGGCCCCGUCGUAAACAGGGCAGUGGCCCAGUCCUGAACCUCGUCGUCUCCGCCGCCAACAUUGUUGAGCGGAGCACCGCAAGAUCCUCCACGACCAUUUUGAUUAUCGUCGAUGCCGGAGAUCUUGCGGUGCGGUGGCCAGCAAACAACGAGAAAGGAAAGAGAAGAGCACUGAAGGAAGGGCAUGAAGGAGAGUCGCAGCGAUGGGGGAAGCGUGAACAGAGGCGGCGAUUCACCUCCUCGCAACAAUUGCGGCGAUUUACAGGUUGUUGACAAGGUGCUCCUUGCCGCAGAUGCUCCUGCGCGCAGAUGGAGACUCUACCUCGGCCUCACAAGCUCACACCCCUUGGAUUCUUCGGUCUCAUGCCGAGUGAUGGCUAGCUUGGUUCUCGCAUUAGCAGGAGGAAAUGAGGAAUUGUUCCUUCCAUCAUUCUUUUAUUCCACCCUUUUCCUAUGAGAUUUUAUAUUGAAAAAUAUUUGUAUGUGAAUGUGAGAUUGAAUUUGAAUACGUUUUGUCAAUUAAUAUUAUUAGCACA
Long non-coding RNA from Spinacia oleracea (spinach), 676 nucleotides. RefSeq lists it as uncharacterized. The record is from RefSeq and is a predicted model, not a curated record. NCBI's taxonomy places the organism in Eukaryota, Viridiplantae, Streptophyta, Magnoliopsida, Caryophyllales, Amaranthaceae. The transcript is spliced from 2 exons.